This 7450-nucleotide long non-coding RNA is filed under the name Lactuca sativa (garden lettuce). RNAcentral's name for it is "long non-coding RNA (LSAT_LNC003972)". The record is from RNAcentral. Lineage: Eukaryota; Viridiplantae; Streptophyta; Magnoliopsida; Asterales; Asteraceae.
AGAAAAGGGAUGCCGUAAUCUAACAUGCAAAUAAAUUGAAGGUAAGUGAAUGACGAUUCACUAAUUCUCCAUCACAAAACUUAAACUAUUAGUCCUAAGUGUUUUUGAGAAUUCCUAGGUUCGGAUGAGAUUCAUUGAAACUAUUCAAUGGCAUGUUUAAAUCUCGAUAUGCCCCUCUUGUUUGUGACUGGGAUGCCGAGGAUCACAAAGCGGGUGUGAAUUACCAUGCAAAUUCACAUGGUGCCUUCAUUGUAACGAUCACCUAUUCGAUGUGCCGGUAAACCACACACGCUCCAUCGAACUAUGAUAAACAAUGAAUCACCCUUUGCCACCUUCGCUUAGAACCAAUUAGUGUGCCGGUAAACCACACACGCUCCACUAACAUCUUAGCAAGGUGCAAAGUGUAAUUUCAUGGGAUUGCAUCAAUUCACUUUUCCUAAAGUAACUAGGAUUGGGAAAUUUUAAAAUAUGUGUAGUUACUUUGUAUUUCUUAUUAUACUUUUAAUGAGAGGAUGAGGUUGCCCUAUCCUACCCGUUCGGCUAACGACCCUCCACCAAUCAAGCAAGCGGUGGGUGUGAGUGUACACCCAUUAAGCGCCAUUUUAUAGGCCGCAACCUUAUACCCACCUUAUAGAUCGGCUUCGUGAAUGAGGCCUACUAACGGUAAGACUAGCAUUUAGUUAUACAUAUAUAUAUUAUUCUAGUAAUAUCAUAUUAGUAUAGGGUUGUAUUUUAAAACUUUUAAAAUCUAGGGUUUGAAAUUUAAGUUGUCUAAAUUAAAACUUUUAAUCACAAAAGUAAAUUUCAAAACAUGAGGGUAGGUUUUAAACAUUUAAAACAUGGAGGAUCAAAUAACAAAUAAUUCCAAUUAACAAUUAAUAUCCUAAUUAUCUAUAUUUGAUUUAUUCAAGAUUUCUUUUUAAGAUAAUUACCAAAAUAAUUAAAAUAAUUAAUUAAUUAUCAUAUAAGGAAAUUAAAUAUUUAAUUAGUUGAUAAUUACCUUUAACUAGAUCAAGAUAAUAGUUAUAUUUAUCAGAAAAACGAAUUAAUGUUGAUCUAAUUAGUUUAUGGUAAGUUAAGAUAAGAUAAACACAAAGAAAUCCCGAAUCUGGCCAUUCCUGACGCCUGGACUCGCCGAGUGCACAAAUGGACUCGCCGAGUCAGGCCUACUCGCCGAGUCCACUUUGGGACUCGCCGAGUCCAUGACUCAGAAACCAAAAAAUCGAAUUUUGCAGGUUUGUUUCAGUUAAUCAAGCAACAAUUUAAAGAAAACCAAGCUAGGCUCUGAUACCACUGAUGGGUUUUAGCCAUAAGAACUUUCCUAUGUGCGCAUGCAAAACCCUAAUGCUUGGAUCUAGGCUUUCUAAUAAACAUGCAUUGAAUCCAAGUCUUCUAAUGACUAAUUAGGUUAAAUAACAACAUUGAAACAGAUCUAGAAUCAUACCUUUGAGUUCCUUGUUGAUCUUGAGGUCUUGGAGCUUCUAGAGUCACAAGUGUCACUCCUCUAAUGGCUUACAAACACCAAUAGCAAUAAGAAUGAUUUAGGAGAGAGGAGAGGGGAGGAAUUCGACCAGAGUUCUCUUGCUUUUUCAGAAGUGUCGAAUUCCCUAUGCCAUGGGGUCUAUUUAUACUUGUAGACUCCUUAAGGAUUACAGAUAAGUCCCUAUCAGAUAAUCUUCUCUUAAGGCUAUCCAAAUCCAUUCCUAGAUAACUCUAAUGGACGAUUUUAGCUAUCCUAAUCCUCUUAGAAUUCGUCCAUAGCAUAUCCAAAUGGAUUUACAGUCUAAAGCUUAACUAUCAAACAAUUGACAGUUUAUACCCCUUUAUUUAAUUAAUCUCUUUAAGUCACCAAAUUAAUUCUAAUUAAUUCUAUGACUUAUAUUAAUCAAAUAACAAAUAUAUUAUUCAUUAUAUUAUUCUCAUAAUAUAUUAAUAAUAUUUACUCUCUCUUAAUAAAUCAUCCUAUCAAGUUGCUAUGGUGAAGGCAACCCAAAAGGACCAUGCACAACCGGAUCAAAUACUUGCCUAAUAUAGUUACAGCCUUAGACACUAUUCCAACAGUCUCCCACUUGGAUAAGUCUAGUAACUAUACAAGUACAAUUCGGUUUGCAAUCGUAGCUCUCAAAGACGCUGUCAACUCUGAUCUAAUCAAUCUUGUCCUUUAGAUAAGGGAACGUACAGUCCUCUGUUAGAUAUCAUGCUGACAAUCCUAUGGAAUGGUUAGUCAAGCAUUUAGGUUUCUCGAUCUCUGAUUUAUUUGACAUAGAACUUAAUCGAACACAUCAAUUCAGUUCUGACCGGGCCCGGCACAUAAGUCAAAUCAAAUCAUCGAGCGGCCGAGAUAUCGCUUUUACCUUCUUAGAUAAAAGUUACAGAUAAACUUCGACUUAUAUGCAUUUACUUAUUCAUUUACCAACUAUACACAACAAUACGUUUUAUAACACCAAGUUACUGAUGCGUUUUCGUAUUAUCAAUGUACAAUCAAUUAACAAAUAAUAAACCAUAUAUCUAGGUUUUAAGACUAUAUGAUAUUAUCGUCUUGCGAUCACCUUUUAUAUCGUAUUCCAUAAGGUGAUUCCAGCAAGCGCGGGUUUAUUCCAAUGCUCAAAACUAGUUCAUAAGCACUCAUGAACGUUGCAGCAAUCCUUUGCUAUGUCUAACACCAUUUAGACAUUCUACACACCAAUUCAUGACAAUCUUCAUUCAUAUCUACUCCCAACAUAUGAACGAUUGUGGACCAUUUGAACAAUUCGAUUAUUCCUAAUAAACUCAAUUAUUCUGGAAGUCAAAACAUGCAAAGUGAAACAAUAGCUAAACAAUUAACAUAAGAUAGUAACAUUACUCAUAAAUAAAACUCCUUUAUUUAAUCAUCAAAUGUUAAUUACAUUUAUCUAUUACACGUUUCUAAUACUAUCUAAUCUAUGCUAAUAUCAUCCUUCAGCCCAAUACUCCUAGCAUGCUGCAAGUGCUUAACCCUACUCAGUCCCUUCGUAAGCGGAUCUGCUGGGUUAUCUUCUGAUGAUAUCCUCUUCACUACGAGUUGUCCUUCUUCUACACGAUGUCUAAUGAAGUGAUACUUUCUGUCGAUAUGUCUUGAUCUACCAUGAUCCCUCGGUUCCUUGGUCAAGGCAACCGCACCUUCGUUAUCACAGAAAAUCUCCAUUGGCUCCUUUAUGGCAGGUACAACUCCAAGAUCACCGAUGAAGUUCUUUAGCCAUAUUGCCUCCUUCGACGCUUCGCUCGCUGCAAUGUACUCUGAUUCGCACGUUGAAUCAGCUACGGUUUCCUGCUUGGAACUCUUCCAUGUCACUGCUCCUCCAUUUAGGGUAAAGACCCAGCCCGACUGCGAACGGUAGUUGUCCCUGUCGGUCUGAAAACUGGCGUCACUAUACCCUCGCACCUUCAAGUCAUCACUCCCUCCGAGGACUAAGAACCAUUCCUUCGUCCUCCGAAGGUACUUAAGGAUAUUCUUCACCGCAAUCCAAUGUGCUUUGCCAGGAUUCCCUUGAUAUCUGCUAACCAUGCUCAAAGCGAAGGCUACAUCAGGGCGAGUACAAGUCAUAGCGUACAUGAUUGAGCCAACUGCGGAAGCGUAUGGUACUCGGCUCAUUUCUGCUAUCUCAGCUUCGGUACUCGGACUUUGAGUCUUACUCAAUUUGGCAUUACUUUGUAUCGGUAGUUCUCCCUUCUUUGAGUUUUCCAUACUAAAACGUUUUAGUACCUUCUCUAAGUAAGUAUUCUGACUAAGUCCAAUUAGUCUCUUACUUCUUUCUCUUACUAUCCUUAUUCCCAAAAUGUAAGAAGCCUCUCCGAGGUCCUUCAUAGCGAAGCACUUCCCGAGCCAGGACUUAACCUCCUGCAGAGUCGGGAUGUCGUUUCCUAUGAGUAAUAUGUCAUCGACAUAUAGAACGAGGAAGCUUACUAUACUCCCACUGGCUUUGACAUAUACACAAGAUUCGUCUUCGCUUCGUACAAAUCCAAACUCUUUGACUUUCUCAUCGAAGCAAAGAUUCCAUCUGCGAGACGCUUGCUUAAGUCCAUAAAUGGACUUCUCAAGCUUACACACUCUAUUCGGAUGCUUCGGAUCCACAAACCCCUCUGGCUGAGCCAUGUAAACAUCCUCAGCCAACUUUCCGUUAAGGAAAGCGGUCUUGACAUCCAUUUGCCAAAUCUCAUAAUCAUGAAAUGCGGCAAUAGCUAGCAUCACUCUAAUAGAUUUAAUCUUCGCAACUGGUGAGAAGGUCUCAUCAUAGUCAACUCCGGGAGUUUGAGUAAAGCCCUUCGCAACCAAUCGCGCUUUAUAUGUGUGUACGUUUCCAUCCACGUCGGUCUUCUUCUUGAAGAUCCAUUUGCACCCAACGGUCUUACGUCCGGGCACAUAAUCAACCAAAUUCCAAACUUGGUUAUCAUACAUGGAUUGGAUCUCGCUAUCCAUUGCCUCUUUCCAUUUUGCAGACUCCGGGCCUGCCAUGGCUUCCUUAUAGCUAUUAGGUUCAUCAAGAUUUACUAGUGUACCAUCACUAAUAUACGUGUCCCCUUCGGUAGUAAUAUGAAAGCCAUAAAACUGGGGAUGAACUCUAACUCUAUCGGAACGUCUAAGAGGUAAGGAUUCGUCAAUCGGUUCAACCGGAGUUUCCUCCUCGGGUUGAGUGCCAGCGGUAGAGGUUCCUUCAUCUAUCGACUCUUGAAUCUCUUCAAGUUCGAUUUGCCUCCCACUGUCUCCUUGGCUUAUGAGUUCUCGCUCUCGGAAAACUCCUCUCCUCGCAACGAAGACAACAUUGUCCUUCGGUCUAUAGAAGAGAUAUCCAAAGGAUGUCUGCGGGUAGCCGAUGAAAAUACAUCGCUCACUUCGAGGUUCAAGCUUGUCGUGAGUAUCUCGUCUUACGAAAGCCUCGCAACCCCAAACCUUGAUAUGUGCCAACGAGGGAGCUUUCCCUGUCCACAUCUCGUGAGGUGUUUUGGCAACCUUCUUAGUAGGGACUCGGUUAAGGAUAUGGGCGGCAGUCUCUAAGGCAUACCCCCAAAAAGAGAUAGGUAGUGAAGCACGACUCAUCAUAGAGCGAACCAUAUCCAAUAAGGUUCGAUUACGCCUUUCUGCCACACCAUUCAACUGCGGUGUCCUAGGAGGCGUCAAUUGUGAAACUAUUCCACACUCCUUGAGAUAAUCGUGGAAUUCAAGACUUAGGUACUCUCCUCCUCGAUCGGAUCGAAGCAUCUUGAUUUUCCUGCCCAAUUGAUUCUCCACUUCAUUCUUGAACUCUUUGAACUUUUCAAAGGUGUCUGACUUUUGCUUGAUUAAGUAGAUAUACCCAUAUCUACUAUAGUCAUCGGUAAAAGUCACGUAGAAGCGGUUCCCAUCCUUCGUGGUUGAUCUAAACGGUCCACAUACAUCGGUAUGUAUUAAGUCCAAUAGACCCUCACCCCUUUCACACGUACUCGUGAAGGGUGACUUAGUCAUCUUUCCAAGCAAACAAGACUCGCAUGUGUCAUCUUCCCUAAGGUCGAAUGACUCCAACACUCCAUCCUUUUGGAGUUGGGCUAUGCGUUUCUUGUUGACAUGUCCAAGACGACAAUGCCACAAGGAUGCUUUAUCCAUACUAGUGGAAGAAUCAAUAUUCAAAACAUCAUUUCCUAAGUUAUCAACAAUCAUAACGGUUUCAUAUAUUCCAUUACAUGGUAUAGCUUCAAAGUAAAAGACACCAUUUAGAUAAGCCAAAAUAGAACCAUUCUCAUUAUUAAAAGAAAAUCUAAAACCUUGUCUAUAUAAACCAUGAAAUGAAAUGAUGUUUCUAGCCAUUUCUGGCGAAUAGCAACAAUUGUUCAAAUCUAAACAUAAAUUAUUCCUAAGCACUAAAGAAUACACUCCAAUCUUGGUCACAGGCGACGAUCUUCUGUUCCCCAUGAUUAGAUUGAUCCUUCCUUGCUCCACAUCCCUACUUCUUCUUAGUCCCUGCACAUUAGAACAAAUGUGGUAACCACAACCGGUAUCAAGAACCCAAGAAAUAGCAUGAUUAGAAUCGUUAGAUUUAAUUGUGUAUAUACCUGCGAAAGAUGGCUUGAUCUUUCCUUCUUUGAUUGCUUGCAGGUACUCUGGGCAGCUUCUCUUCCAAUGUCCUAUCUUGUGGCAGUGGUGGCACUCUGCCUCCUUUGGGUUAGGGCAGGGCUUAGCGGGAUCAACUUUGGUCCCACUAGAAGAGGCACCAUCUCGGGCUUUAACCUUGCGAUAGUUCUUAGAUGAAGCCUUCCUCUUCUUUCCCUUUCCUUGACCAAUAGCCAAGACAGGAGCAGCGGGUGGAUUGGGAGUUGGUGCAACAGACUUGUCUUUGAAGUUGCUCUCAGCGACCCUCAAGAGACCUUGGAGUUUGCUUAGGGUGACCUCUUCUUUGUUCAUGUGGUAGGUCAUCCUAAAUUGAUUGUACAUCGGAGGCAAAGAGUGAAGCACCAUGUCGAUCGCCAAGUCUUCCCCAAAGUCAACAUUUAACUUGCGAAGGCGGUCGACAUACCUUUGCAUCUUUUGCAGGUGCACGGUAAGAGAUUCUCCAUGACCCAUCUUAGCGGAAAUCAUGUUAGUGAAAAUCUCAUAACGCUCUUGUCUCGCGUUUUGGUGGUAUCUCUCCAAUAAGUCUUGAUGCAUCUCGUACGGGUACAUGUCCUCGUAGGACUUUUGGAAUUCGGAGUUCAUGGUGGCUAUCAUGAUGCAAUGUACCUUCGUUGCAUCUCGCUCAUGAGUUUCAAAAGCGGUAAUUUCAGCCGGAGUAGCGAUUUCGGGGUUGAUUUUCUCGAGCUUCUCAUCGAGGACAUACUCCUUAUCCUCAUAGCGAGCAAUGGUGCGAAUGUAUCUUAUCCAUUCGCUAAAGUUCGUUCCAUCGAAGGUGACCUUUUGGCAAAGGCUCAUCAACGUGAAAGAACUAGCAGCAGCGUUGUUGGCGUUCGACAUCUACAAAUAGAAAGGACAAAGAUAGAUUAGAAUAUGAAUCCCUAAUUAUCACCCAAUAAGAAAAAUUAGGGCUAGGAUCCAACAACAACAUUUACAUAUUAGAAAAGGGAUGCCGUAAUCUAACAUGCAAAUAAAUUGAAGGUAAGUGAAUGACGAUUCACUAAUUCUCCACCAUAAAACCUAACUACUAGUCCUAAAUCUAUUGAGAAUUCCUAGGUUUGGAUGAGAUUCAUUGAAAACUAUUCAAUGACAUGUUUAAAUCUCGAUAUGCCCCUCUAGUUUGUGAUUGGGAUACCAAGGAUCACAAAGCGGGUGUGAAUUACCAUGCAAAUUCACAUGGUGCCUUCAUUGUAACGAUCACCUAUUCGAUGUGUCGGUAAACCACACACGCUCCAUCGAACUAUGAUAAACAAUGAAUCACCCUUUGCCACCUUUGCUUAGAACCAAUUAGUGUGCCGGUAAACCACACACGCUCCACUAACUUCUUAGCAAGGGUGCAAAGUGUAAUUUCAU